Molecule: transfer RNA, 70 nt
Filed under: Rattus norvegicus (Norway rat)
Lineage: Eukaryota; Metazoa; Chordata; Mammalia; Rodentia; Muridae
Rfam family: tRNA
About the family: Transfer RNA (tRNA) molecules are approximately 80 nucleotides in length. Their secondary structure includes four short double-helical elements and three loops (D, anti-codon, and T loops). Further hydrogen bonds mediate the characteristic L-shaped molecular structure. tRNAs have two regions of fundamental functional importance: the anti-codon, which is responsible for specific mRNA codon recognition, and the 3' end, to which the tRNAs corresponding amino acid is attached (by aminoacyl-tRNA synthetases). tRNAs cope with the degeneracy of the genetic code in two manners: having more than one tRNA (with a specific anti-codon) for a particular amino acid; and 'wobble' base-pairing, i.e. permitting non-standard base-pairing at the 3rd anti-codon position.
Source: Rfam by way of RNAcentral
GGGGAUUUAGCUCAGUGGUAGAGCGCUUGCCUAGCAAGCACAAGGCCGUGGGUUCGGUCCCCAGUUCCGG